AACGAACGCUGGCGGCAUGCCUAACACAUGCAAGUCGAACGAGACCUUCGGGUCUAGUGGCGCACGGGUGCGUAACGCGUGGGAACCUGCCCUUAGGUUCGGAAUAACUCCCCGAAAGGGGUGCUAAUACCGGAUAAUGUCUUCGGACCAAAGAUUUAUCGCCUUUGGAUGGGCCCGCGUUGGAUUAGCUAGUUGGUAGGGUAAAAGCCUACCAAGGCGACGAUCCAUAGCUGGUCUGAGAGGAUGAUCAGCCACACUGGGACGGAGACACGGCCCAGACUCCUACGGGAGGCAGCAGUGGGGAAUAUUGGACAAUGGGCGAAAGCCUGAUCCAGCAAUGCCGCGUGAGUGAUGAAGGCCUUAGGGUUGUAAAGCUCUUUUACCCGGGAUGAUAAUGACAGUACCGGGAGAAUAAGCUCCGGCUAACUCCGU
Molecule: ribosomal RNA, 432 nt
Filed under: uncultured bacterium
Lineage: Bacteria
Description: partial 16S ribosomal RNA
Rfam family: Bacterial small subunit ribosomal RNA
Source: RNAcentral